GCCGUCGUGGCCAAGUCUGGUGAAGGCACCCGGCUGAUAACCGAGAGAUGCGCUGGUUCAAUUCCAGCCGACGGCA
RNAcentral lists this transfer RNA (76 nucleotides) under Micromonospora sp. WMMD812. RNAcentral describes it as "tRNA-Ile". It matches the Rfam family "tRNA". Rfam says of the family: Transfer RNA (tRNA) molecules are approximately 80 nucleotides in length. Their secondary structure includes four short double-helical elements and three loops (D, anti-codon, and T loops). Lineage: Bacteria; Bacillati; Actinomycetota; Actinomycetes; Micromonosporales; Micromonosporaceae. The record is from RNAcentral.